GUCUCUUCUUGCCUUGUAUAAUAAAGUUUAUCAAAUCCCAAGUCGGUAAAAUCUCUAAUCAAACUUUCAAUCAGCUUUUACUCAGGAACUACCAGCUUUUAGCCACAGAAGAUCCCUCACCCUCAUGUAACCUCCUCACCACACGCUGAGAUGGACCCCUCUCUCCGCUGGAAACUGUUCCUGGAAACAAUGGCCGCAGACACCUGGCUUCUGGCACCCAUAUCCUCUUGGCACCAUUGGAAUCAACAACAGGAAGCAGUCAGAGAGAAAGCAACGUCCACAACCUCAUAGAGGAGAAAGGGGGGAAUGAAGGGCCCCCACCCAUAAGAUGGCAAACUUCCUGCUUCUCUUCCGGGUCCUCGGUUCCUGCCAGCGCCACCUGAAGCCCAAUCACCCCUCACCCCCCUCCCAAUCCCAGCACCUAGCCAAUAGCCACCAGCCCCGUAGAAGUGACACCUCAAUCAGCUCAUGCCCCUUCCUAUAUAACCCAGCACCUUUCCCUAAUAAAGCGGAAUUCUCUGGUGAAUUGCU
Manis pentadactyla (Chinese pangolin) is the source of this 531-nucleotide long non-coding RNA. RefSeq lists it as uncharacterized. The transcript has 2 exons. The record is from RefSeq and is a predicted model, not a curated record. Lineage: Eukaryota; Metazoa; Chordata; Mammalia; Pholidota; Manidae.